UACGUAGGGGGCAAGCGUUGUCCGGAUUUAUUGGGCGUAAAGAGCGUGUAGGCGGUCUGGUAGGUCCGUUGUGAAAACUCGAGGCUCAACCUCGAGACGCCGAUGGAAACCCUCAGACUAGAGUCCGGAAGAGGAGAGUGGAAUUCCUGGUGUAGCGGUGAAAUGCGCAGAUAUCAGGAAGAACACCCGUGGCGAAGGCGGCUCUCUGGUACGUGACUGACGCUGAGACGCGAAAGCGUGGGGAGCAAACAGG
This 253-nucleotide ribosomal RNA is filed under the name uncultured bacterium. RNAcentral's name for it is "partial 16S ribosomal RNA". It matches the Rfam family "Bacterial small subunit ribosomal RNA", at positions 524 to 776 of the family's 1533-position model. The record is from RNAcentral.